RNAcentral lists this ribosomal RNA (282 nucleotides) under uncultured bacterium. Its description in RNAcentral is "partial 16S ribosomal RNA". It matches the Rfam family "Bacterial small subunit ribosomal RNA", at positions 333 to 629 of the family's 1533-position model. The record is from RNAcentral.
CCACCCCUACGGGACGCAGCAGUGGGGAAUAUUGCACAAUGGGCGAAAGCCUGAUGCAGCAACGCCGCGUGAAGGAAGAAGGGUUUCGGCUCGUAAACUUCUAUUAACAGGGAAGAAAGAAAUGACGGUACCUGAAUAAGAGGCCCCGGCUAACUACGUGCCAGCAGCCGCGGUAAUACGUAGGGGGCAAGCGUUAUCCGGAAUUACUGGGGGUAAAGGGAGAGUAGGCGGCAUGGUAAGCCAGAUGUGAAAGCCUUGGGCUUAACUGGAGGACUGCAUUUG